GGAACUUCCGGCGGAGGCAACUCGUGAGGGGACCGGGACCGGCGGCGGCACCGGGACCAGAACCGGGAACGGGGAACGCGACCGGGAUCGGGAAACCGCAGCCAUGAACAUCCGGAACGCGCGGCCCGAGGACCUGAUGAACAUGCAGCACUGCAACCUGCUCUGCCUGCCCGAGAACUACCAGAUGAAAUAUUAUUUCUACCACGGCCUCUCGUGGCCUCAGCUGUCGUACAUCGCCGAGGAUGAGAACGGGAAGAUCGUCGGAUACGUCCUGGCCAAGAUGGAGGAAGACCCUGAUGAUGUCCCCCAUGGUCACAUCACAUCCCUGGUG
Zonotrichia leucophrys gambelii is the source of this 331-nucleotide long non-coding RNA. RefSeq lists it as uncharacterized. The transcript has 4 exons. The record is from RefSeq and is a predicted model, not a curated record. NCBI's taxonomy places the organism in Eukaryota, Metazoa, Chordata, Aves, Passeriformes, Passerellidae.